UAGGGAAUCUUCCGCAAUGGGCGAAAGCCUGACGGAGCAACGCCGCGUGAGUGAUGAAGGUCUUCGGAUCGUAAAACUCUGUUAUUAGGGAAGAACAAAUGUGUAAGUAACUAUGCACGUCUUGACGGUACCUAAUCAGAAAGCCACGGCUAACUACGUGCCAGCAGCCGCGGUAAUACGUAGGUGGCAAGCGUUAUCCGGAAUUAUUGGGCGUAAAGCGCGCGUAGGCGGUUUUUUAAGUCUGAUGUGAGAGCCCACGGCUCAACCGUGGAGGGUCAUUGGAAACUGGAAAACUUGAGUGCAGAAGAGGAAAGUGGAAUUCCAUGUGUAGCAGUGAAAUGCGCAGAGAUAUGGAGGAACACCAGUGGCGAAGGCGACUUUCUGGUCUGUAACUGACGCUGAUGUGCGAAAGCGUGGGGAUCAAACAGG
This 429-nucleotide ribosomal RNA is filed under the name Actinomycetes bacterium. RNAcentral describes it as "Actinobacteria bacterium partial 16S ribosomal RNA". It matches the Rfam family "Bacterial small subunit ribosomal RNA", at positions 355 to 776 of the family's 1533-position model. Lineage: Bacteria; Bacillati; Actinomycetota; Actinomycetes. The record is from RNAcentral.